This 587-nucleotide ribosomal RNA is filed under the name uncultured bacterium. Its description in RNAcentral is "bacterial SSU rRNA". It matches the Rfam family "Bacterial small subunit ribosomal RNA", at positions 338 to 916 of the family's 1533-position model. The record is from RNAcentral.
CCUACGGGAGGCAGCAGUGGGGAAUUUUGGACAAUGGGCGCAAGCCUGAUCCAGCAAUGCCGCGUGAGUGAAGAAGGCCUUCGGGUUGUAAAGCUCUUUUGUCAGGGAAGAAACGGCUGAGGCUAAUAUCCUCGGCUAAUGACGGUACCUGAAGAAUAAGCACCGGCUAACUACGUGCCAGCAGCCGCGGUAAUACGUAGGGUGCAAGCGUUAAUCGGAAUUACUGGGCGUAAAGCGUGCGCAGGCGGUUUUGUAAGUCUGUCGUGAAAGCCCCGGGCUUAACCUGGGAAUUGCGAUGGAGACUGCAAGGCUUGAAUCUGGCAGAGGGGGGUAGAAUUCCACGUGUAGCAGUGAAAUGCGUAGAGAUGUGGAGGAACACCGAUGGCGAAGGCAGCCCCCUGGGUCAAGAUUGACGCUCAUGCACGAAAGCGUGGGGAGCAAACAGGAUUAGAUACCCUGGUAGUCCACGCCCUAAACGAUGUCUACUAGUUGUCGGGUCUUAAUUGACUUGGUAACGCAGCUAACGCGUGAAGUAGACCGCCUGGGGAAGUACGGUCGCAAGAUUAAAACUUCAAAGGAAUUGACGG